ACGGGAGGCAGCAGCUAAGAAUAUUCCGCAAUGGACGAAAGUCUGACGGAGCGACGCCGCGUGGAUGAUGAAGGUCGGAAGAUUGUAAAAUCCUUUUAUAACUGAGGAAUAAGCAGUGUGAGAGAAACGCAUUGCGGUGACUGUAGGUUAUGAAUAAGCAACGGCUAAUUACGUGCCAGCAGCCGCGGUAACACGUAAGUUGCGAGCGUUGUUCGGAAUUAUUGGGCGUAAAGGGCAUGUAGGCGGUUUUGCAAGCUUGGUGUGAAAGGCAGGAGCUUAACUCCUGGACUGCGUUGAGAACUGCAAGACUAGAGUUACUGAAGAGCAAUCAGAAUUCCAGGUGUAGGGGUGAAAUCUGUAGAUAUCUGGAAGAAUACCAAUGGCGAAGGCAGGUUGCUGGCAGAUGACUGACGCUGAGGUGCGAAGGUGCGGGGAGCAAACAGGAUUAGAUACCCUGGUA
Molecule: ribosomal RNA, 460 nt
Filed under: uncultured Treponema sp.
Lineage: Bacteria; Pseudomonadati; Spirochaetota; Spirochaetia; Treponematales; Treponemataceae
Description: partial 16S ribosomal RNA
Rfam family: Bacterial small subunit ribosomal RNA
Source: RNAcentral